AACGUAGGAGGCGAACGUUAUCCGGAUUCACUGGGCGUAAAGCGCGUGUAGGCGGUGGUGCAAGUUGGGCGUGAAAUCUCUCGGCUCAACCGGGAGGGGUCGUCCAAUACUGCAUCACUUGAGGGCAGGAGAGGGAAGUGGAAUUCCCGGUGUAGCGGUGGAAUGUGCAGAUAUCGGGAGGAACACCCGUGGCGAAGGCGGCUUCCUGGCCUGCUCCUGACGCUAAGACGCGAAAGCUAGGGGAG
RNAcentral lists this ribosomal RNA (245 nucleotides) under uncultured bacterium. RNAcentral describes it as "partial 16S ribosomal RNA". It matches the Rfam family "Bacterial small subunit ribosomal RNA", at positions 524 to 768 of the family's 1533-position model. The record is from RNAcentral.